RNAcentral lists this ribosomal RNA (496 nucleotides) under uncultured bacterium. RNAcentral describes it as "partial 16S ribosomal RNA". It matches the Rfam family "Bacterial small subunit ribosomal RNA", at positions 28 to 507 of the family's 1533-position model. The record is from RNAcentral.
GAUGAACGCUGGCGGCGUGCCUAAUACAUGCAAGUCGAGCGAACAGACGAGGAGCUUGCUCCUCUGACGUUAGCGGCGGACGGGUGAGUAACACGUGGAUAACCUACCUAUAAGACUGGGAUAACUUCGGGAAACCGGAGCUAAUACCGGAUAAUAUAUUGAACCGCAUGGUUCAAUAGUGAAAGACGGUUUUGCUGUCACUUAUAGAUGGAUCCGCGCCGCAUUAGCUAGUUGGUAAGGUAACGGCUUACCAAGGCAACAAUGCGUAGCCGACCUGAGAGGGUGAUCGGCCACACUGGAACUGAGACACGGUCCAGACGCCUACGGGAGGCAGCAGUAGGGAAUCUUCCGCAAUGGGCGAAGCCUGACGGAGCAACGCCGCGUGAGUGAUGAAGGUCUUCGGAUCGUAAAACUCUGUUAUUAGGGAAGAACAAAUGUGUAAGUAACUAUGCACGUCUUGACGGUACCUAAUCAGAAAGCCACGGCUAACUACGUG